AACGAACGCUGGCGGCAGGCCUAACACAUGCAAGUCGAACGGUUCCUUCGGGGACAGUGGCAGACGGGCGAGUAACGCGUGGGAAUCUACCUUGUGGUACGGAACAACCAAGGGAAACUUUGGCUAAUACCGUAUGAGCCCUUCGGGGGAAAGAUUUAUCGCCAUAAGAUGAGCCCGCGUAGGAUUAGCUAGUUGGUGAGGUAAAGGCGCACCAAGGCGACGAUCCUUAGCUGGUCUGAGAGGAUGACCAGCCACACUGGGACUGAGACACGGCCCAGACUCCUACGGGAGGCAGCAGCGGGGAAUAUUGGACAAUGGGCGCAAGCCUGAUCCAGCCAUGCCGCGUGUGUGAUGACGGCCUUAGGGUUGUAAAGCACUUUCGCCGAUGAAGAUAAUGACUGUAGUCGGAGAAGAAGCCCCGGCUAACUUCGUGCCAGCCGCCGCCGUAA
This 449-nucleotide ribosomal RNA is filed under the name uncultured bacterium. RNAcentral's name for it is "partial 16S ribosomal RNA". It matches the Rfam family "Bacterial small subunit ribosomal RNA", at positions 29 to 523 of the family's 1533-position model. The record is from RNAcentral.